Molecule: long non-coding RNA, 1221 nt
Organism: Chelonus insularis
Lineage: Eukaryota; Metazoa; Arthropoda; Insecta; Hymenoptera; Braconidae
Exons: 3
Source: RefSeq, a predicted model, not a curated record
UGCAAUACGGAAAACUUGAACGAGUGGUAUCAAAGGUGGCGCGAAUCCAGCUAACAAGUCGACUAAUUCGAAGCAAGUCAAGAGAAGUUGAGUGGUUGGCUCACGCGAUGUUAGAGAGAAGUGAGAGAUGUGCUGAUGUGGAGGAGGUCUUUGGAGGAGGCAAGUGAUACACCAGGUAAACUAUACACUUGGUGUACUUAACACCCGCACACUCCAACUGACAAUGAACGGGGCCAGAAUUGCUUCGCGCUUACUACCGUGCAGUCGCUCGACGGCCGCAUGGAAAGAUGACCCCAGACAUGGGACUGUUGCUCAUUGGGGCCCUGCGUCAAAUUAUGGACAGAGAGAGGAGGAGGAAUCAAAACAAGUGUGAGCGAGGUGAAGAGAGGUCUCAUGGUGUGGUGGGAGAGACUGGCUUCGUGAUAGCAGGUCUCAAAACCAGCUGAAGAACUCGAAGACUUGGAAUUUUUACCUUUGAAUUGAACACAUGCGAUCCAGCUACAGAUUUUUUUCCUGGAUUGAGUCAAGCUGAGGAAUUACAGAAGAGAUGUAAUAUUCACAAUUAAUCAUUAUUUCAGAACAAGUGUCAUUGAGAGAAUGAUUAAAUAAAUAAAAAAUUGUUGUUGACAAAAAAGAGCCAGGGCUCUUGAACUGGACGAUGCUGGACUGGUUUUGAAGAAUUAAAUGUCGCGAUGAAUAAAGUAAAGCUGACAAGGCAGGGCUAGUGUGUGUACACAUACGAAUAAAUAUAAAGAGAGCUGGGGACAUUGCUAAAAACACACUUUGAUCCAAUAAAUGUCAGUGUCCCCAUAUGGAUAAUAGAGUGAGAAGAGGUCUUUGUCAUUAAUAUAAGUCUAUGAACAGAUCAAGUACAAUAAUGCUAAUAUUAAUAUUACGCUCAAUUCUUCUCAUAUGUUCUAUAGAUUAAAUCCCAUGUGACUUUUAUCAAUACCAGUAAGCUAACUCACGUCUUUUAUAUCACUGCAUGACUAAAUGUUUUCUCAGUAUGUUCCGAAAAAAUUGAGACAUCAAACGAAUUUAAAUUCACGUCUUAUUAAGAGAAUAAUGACGCUUGAUGAAUGUGGGACAUCAUCAAGGAAUCCUCCCACGUUGGAAAUUUUCUGAUUCGCAAUCAAAAGAGAACUGUUACAAAUCCUUAAUUGUAUCAUGGUAAUAAAUGUAAAGAGGAAAAAAUUAAAAUAAAAUAAUCCAACAAAUAAA